UUUCUUCAAAAUAGUGGUAAAGCUGCGUUAGUGAUGACUGUGAAUGGAAAAAAAAAAAAAAAAAGCUGCAAAUACCAGUGAAGAGACUAAUACUACUGGAGGGGAUAGGAAGAGAAAGAAGAGGCACAGUAAAUAUAUAUUGUUUCCAUCUAUCUGUACAGUGUAGCUUGGAGAGCGCUUCUCAGGCUGUCCGCACCACUGCCGCUCGCGUGACGCGAGACGCACAAUAACCUGCGUCGGUGCUGUGCGAAGCGAUGGAGGGACAGUGGGACGGGGCCCUGCGAUGCAGUGUGGCACAUCGUUUGGCUCUGGAUAGCCGCGAAGGAGCCGAUGCCGGCUUUGUUCCAACCAAACCGGUGCCACUGCCAAGAAAAGUCGUAAAGCAGAGUUACACCGCUCCAUUCUGUGGGCUGCUGCAUUUGGUCUUGCGGCACACAUACGCUGCCAUGGCGUGUUCUGGCUUGUGUGGAAUCUGCUCCUGAGACAGCACUAUUUUUAUCAGGUGCCGCAGUAAGCUGAGCUGACUUGAAGACCGAGUUGCCGCGUCUCCAGAAGGGUGAUGGACUUUGCAGCUGAAGUUAUGAACAGAGGAGGUUUAUAACAUACAGGCUAAGGUGGAAGUCUUCAAAGCCUGUUAGCAAACAGCAACAAGUAUUCCACUGAUGCCUAAGACCGGCAAAAUAAGCACCAGUAGAGCUAAACGCCACGCUUGGAAAUGAAUCGUACAUGUUCAGCAGCCCUUCACCAGUUGAAGAUUAAAAAAUAAUGUGGGCCCUUGCUGAUGGGAUGCAUUGCCAGUCAGAAAAAUGGAAAGCACUCUCCGAUCAGAAAGAGCUGAGCCAGCUGAAUACAUCGGCAGGAGCUCUGCGCCAGUGAGCUGUUACCUAAUAACUUGAUGGUUCAAGCUCUGAUAGAGUCAGAGAGCACAAGAGAGCCUCUUGCAGCCUGACAUUUAGACACCUGAAACUGAAAGACAGCUAAAAUCAAUGGAUUUUUUCUUUUUUUAAUAUUAGUAGUCCAGUGUUUAUGUGAGCUGUGAGACAUAAAGAGGAGCAAAGCGAAGUUACAUGUGGCUGUAAAGCCAGAACGGAGAAGUGGGGUCAAACCAGCAAGCAGGAACAGAGAGGGCUCCAUAGUCCAGUAGUGAUGAGACACUGCUGCCAGGAACAGAUACCAAUGCCGCAUGGAAGAGGAUGGAAAUGCAGGCAAGUCAGCAGGUACACGAAGAGCCAAAUGCCUCUUUGUCCCCGCUCUCCAAGAGAGCGCUGGUGUGACCCAAGAGGCAUGUGGCAUGGUGAUUGCAAAGGGGAGUGAUGCUGCUCUGCAGGAGGCAGCUUCUGACGGACGGGGAAAUUCUUUCAGUGGCUGGUGAUGUUUGUGGUUUGGUGUGUGUGUUCCUGACUCACCUAUAAAUUCCUACAAAGAUUGGCAGUAAUUUUAUUGGUAGAGGCUCACAAGGUGAAGGAGAGUAAAGGCUGCUCAAAGGUGGUCCAAGAUGGUGCUCAUGGUGAUAAGAGCUCCCUAAAAAGCAGUAAGAGUUUCCUGAAUCCUUCUCCAGCGUGGAUGCAGGAAAACCAGUUGUCCAGCUGAAAAAAGGUUAAAAAUGUGAAGACAGUAACUUGAUUAGUUUAACAUUCAUUCCUGUCUUAAUGAAUAUCUAAAAUACUGUAUUCCACCUUUAGACUGUAGAGAGAUACUCUUCCUAUAAUUACAGGGCUAUUAUGAAAAUUGGAAAGAAAAAGGCAAAAAAAAAAGCUACAAAAGAUAAGUAGGUUAAUUCUGGGAAGGUUCAGAGACAUGGGAGCACAUAGUUGUUGUGCUUCUAAAAAGGUACCAGCACUUUGUCUAAAUGUCUGUUUCUGACAGACAGCUUCCCCAAACUGAAUUUUGGAAGUGAAUUUUGUCUUGGGUAUCGUGUUGCUCAGGGCACUAACGCUCUGAAACAACACGUGGGAGGGGAAUAAAAGGUAGGCAGAGUGACAGGUCACUGGAGAAUUUGCCUGACCACCUUCCUUCCUUUCUUUUAUAGUAUUUUUAUCUUGGACCACAAAGUGUAAACUUCUAAUCAUUUAUUAAUGCAAAUGUAUGUGUCUGUUAAUAUAUUAUUAGACACAGACACCGCGUGUGUAAAUAAUACAGUAUAGAUAUGUACCUUCAUGCUUACAAUAUUGCUAAGAGCUUGAGCUGAACUCACCAUGCAGAUUCAGAACAUUGAACAGCAUUAUUUCACGUAAAGAGACUUCAUCAGGAUUACCCACAUCUGCUACCUCAAUGUAACACACUUUGCCAUUUUUCAGUGCAUAUUUUCAGCUCAUAACAUCUUUUUGCUGCUAAACGAAUCCUAUGAACGCUUCCUUGGUGCCGCAGUCUCUAGAGGUGAGCUGUUUAUCUUGUGGUUUCACAGCAGAUGGUAGCUGCUCUCGGACAGCACUUGCCACAGAAGUGAUCCCCCCUUCUGCAGUUCCCAGCCUCCUCUUUGUCCCCAUGGCGUUCCCUCCCUCGUGUGAUGAAUGGAUGGGGGAACAAUCACAGAAAAACAUAACCAAGACUGGGAAAUGACCCUGGUUUUUACCUGGCUCAGUUUCACGAUGUGUUUCAUCAUUUGGCUACAUGAAAACUUUGGCUGGGACAAAUAAAAGGGCUGUAUGGGUGUAGACAUGAGCGGAUGGAGAAGCACGUGGCUGCUUCUCUCAGCACCAGUGCCAAGCUAUACUGGUUUAAACUGUGAAGUUACAAUUACAGUAUACUCCCCUCCAGUAUUUGUAGCAUACAUACAACAAAAAGAGAAAAAUAAGUUCCAUAACCUCCACUUGGAUAAACCAAAAUGUUUCUGUUAACUUCAGUUAAAACUAUGGCUGUUUAAGAACUUGGAAGAUCAGCCCCUGGGCCAGCUUCCCACUUCUUAGCCUGAUCCAGUUCUUUAAGCUUGCAGAAGGCCCCCAUGAAAGGCAGCUGAAGCAGGCUCUUUAAGGUGCAAACACAUCUCUGGUUUGUGCUAACGAAGUCACACCAGGAGUGAAUAUAGCCCUGCUCCAAUCAGUGAUCUCAUUUUUGUACAAUGAUUGCAAUUAACAAGGUACAUUAUUUUCAGAUAAUUUUUAAUGGAUGUAAGAGCUUGGCAUUAGCUACUUACUGUAGUCCAAGACCAGCUUAGAAACAUUGUGGAACCUCAUCACAGUACUUCUGAAAUAGAGUAGAAGAUUUCAGUACUUGUAAUACUUUUUUCUUUAAGCUCUUGAAGUAAAAAAAUUAAUUUUCAUAGCCUAACUUAGGAUGUUUCACUGUGUGAUGCUGACAGUACUCUAGAAUUCUAUAAUGACAUA
This is a long non-coding RNA of Egretta garzetta (little egret), 3323 nucleotides long. RefSeq lists it as uncharacterized. The transcript has 3 exons. The record is from RefSeq and is a predicted model, not a curated record. Lineage: Eukaryota; Metazoa; Chordata; Aves; Pelecaniformes; Ardeidae.